GUCCAGUUCUCAGGUGUUUACCACCUAUUAGAAAUUCACCUGUAUGGGUCCCGUGUUUGAGAAAGUCCCAGGACCUGUCAACUCUCUAGGCCUCAUAAAAGACAGCUCUGUUCAGGGUUUGAAAGGGACUGCAGUUAAAAGCUAGGGCUAGGACUUGGAGGAUGUGUAGGCAAACGGAAGCAGAGCCGGGGAAAGAAAAACCGAAAUGGAUUCAUUCUCUGUCCUGGAGGGAGGAGGAGAGGAGAGGAGAGAAGAAGGGGACGUGCGAGCUUCCUUCAGCUGCCUCUGUCCGGUGGAAAGUGCUCAGACCCCCGGGGCUGCGCCGGCCUCAGGCUCCGCACGGACUUUCGCUCCAAGUUGCCAAUCAAGGCUCUCACUAGCCACCACCCUGCUCUGGCACCGACACGAUCUGCAGGAUCUCCCUCUGUGAGAUGCAACUCAGCAGCUCUGUCCUCUCUGCCCUCUCAGUGCUGCCAGUGGAGGAGCCCAGGAGGAGCACAGAGCAGUGGCUGAGCAGCAAUUUGAAUAUUCAUAUUUAACUCUUCAAACGACAGAAGAUACUUCAAAACCAUGCGUGAGACAAAAUGCCAUUAGACUUUCAAUUAUUAAACCUCUGUUUAGCUGUACUUCAGAAAUGAGCAGUUCAUAACAAACGGGGAAUUCUGAUUGACAGUUUGCCAUCAGGUGCCCUUAAGUAGGAUUUUUUUUCCAGC
This 713-nucleotide long non-coding RNA is filed under the name Melopsittacus undulatus (budgerigar). RNAcentral's name for it is "lncRNA (ENSMUNG00000008098.2)". The stretch from base 134 to 406 matches the Rfam family "SOX2 overlapping transcript exon 3". The record is from RNAcentral. Lineage: Eukaryota; Metazoa; Chordata; Aves; Psittaciformes; Psittaculidae.